Molecule: long non-coding RNA, 1344 nt
Filed under: Canis lupus familiaris (dog)
Lineage: Eukaryota; Metazoa; Chordata; Mammalia; Carnivora; Canidae
Description: lncRNA (ENSCAFG00030014507.1)
Source: RNAcentral
AGGCCACUGCGGCCGUCCUCUUGCGAACCCUCCGGCCGGCACGCUCAGCUGGGAGGUCAGGCAGGGCCCUCCGCGGUCCGACCCCGACGCGCGGCCAGGCACCUGCAGGCAGAGGCACCCGCGCGACCCGGUUACAAUAAACACAAACAGAAGCCGGUUUCCCAGCGUCCCCUGCGGCCGCCCCCGGCCCGUGUCCUCCGGCUCGCCCUCCCCCCGCCCGCCCCCCGGGUCGCCCCCCGGCCUCUCCCACCACCGGGCCGGCGCCGGGAGGACGGCCCAGCAGCACCCCGCCGCCCGCUCCCGCCUCACCGCGCGGAGGGCGGCCGCCGCGGACGCAGGGAGCGCUCUCAGCAGCCUCGACGCCAUGGCUCCGCGCUCGGCACCGGCUCAAGGACCCGAGGGGACGCGGGCGCGACGGGGGCCUCUUCCGCCGCCGGCGCGCCGCGUGACGUCACGGACGGGGUGCCCGCGGCGCCUGCCGGGAGCUGCCGCGGGGGGCGGGGCGGCGCAUGCGCCCAGAGCGGGUCCCGCCGCCCGACCCGGCCCCGGGGCUGCGACCGAGAGCGCGUCUGCGCGGGAUCGGGGGUGCGGGGCGCGGAGCCGAGGCCGCCCCCCUGCGUCCCCUGGGCUGCCGGUGCGCAGCUGAACAUCCGCCCCAGGGCGCAGGGCAGGGCUCCCCGACCCCAUCCUCCCGGCCGGGACGGGGGCCCGGGGUGCACGCGGGCCUCGCCGCCCCAGGGCGCAGGGCAGGGCUCCCCCACCCUGACCCCAUCCUCCCGGCCGGGACGGGGGCCCGGGGUGCACGCGGACCUCGCCGCCCCAGGGCGCAGGGCAGGGCUCCCCGACCCCGACCCCAUCCUCCAGGCCGGGAUGGGGGCCCGGGGUGCACGCGGACCUCGCUGCCCCAGGGCGCAGGGCAGGGCUCCCCGACCCCAUCCUCCCGGCCGGGAUGGGGGCCCAGGUGUGCACGCGGACCUCGCCGCCCCAGGGCGCAGGGCAGGGCUCCCCCACCCUGACCCCAUCCUCCCGGCCGGGACGGGGGCCCGGGGUGCACGCGGACCUCGCCGCCCCAGGGCGCAGGGCAGGGCUCCCCGACCCCGACCCCAUCCUCCAGGCCGGGAUGGGGGCCCGGGGUGGACACGGACCUCUCGGCCCAGAGCACAUGCAGGACAGGGCUCCCCGCCGCAUGUCCGUCCUCCCGGCCGGGAUGGGGGGCCUCGGGCCCGCGGCGCCCCUACCUCCUCGGACAGCAUCGCCCCCGACCCCGCGAGCCCUGAGCGCUCCCCGGAACUGCGCCCUCCCAGGGGUCGCUCAGCAGGGUCUCUCCUCUGGCCGCUGCUCUGA